GCUCGGCGGCCGCCGUCCCUCCCGCCUCAAGAUGGCGGCGGACAGGCUGCUCCCCCACCGCCCGUGGCCCGCGCUGCCAUUUUCGAGGGGGGAGGAGGAGGAGGAGUGGGUCGCCGGCGACAAGUGGCGAUGGAAAGGGAAGCGCUGCCGCCGCUAUGCUUGUCGUUUUUCCUGUCCCACCGUCUCGCCGGUGGCCUCGUGUCAACCCUGCCGACCCCGAACUUGUGCGGGGCCCGAGCCAAGGCCCCGGAGUGCCCGGUGGCCGCUCUCAGCCCACGUGGCUUUCUGGCCGAGUGGGUGCGUUGGGCCCUUGUCCCAGCUGGCGCACCGACUCACAGAAUCCAUUAGGUUGGAAAAGACCUCUGAGGUCGCCGAUUCUAAUCCGUGACCAAACACCACUAUGUCACCUAGACACUGCACUGAGUGCCACGUCCAGUCUUUCCUUAAACACUUCCAGGGAGGUUAGCACUAAAUGAGGUUACGGGAUGCUCUCCUGACAGGCUGUGUCUGUUCCUUCCAGGUGUAUAGAGAGUCACAGGGUUGGAAGGGACCUCUGGAGAUCAUCUAGUCCAACCCUACCCCCGCCCCGUGCCAAGGCAGGGUCAUCCAGAGCUGGUUGCACGGGAACGUGUCCACGUGGGUUUUGAAUGUCUUCCGAGAGGGGAUAUCCAGGACCUCGGUGGGCGGCCUGUCCCAGUGCUUGCCAAACUCAGGAAGUUCCUUCAGUGGGUUGUUUGCAUUUCCAAAUGGUUUUCAGAUACAUUCUGCCAUUUGUUGCAUUUCUGAAACGUACCACAAGUCAUUCCUGCCACAGAACACAGUAGCUAUCUGUCUUAUGAAGCAGUACGAAGACAAUCCAAAGUACUAAGGAAAAGUGUGUAAGAGCAAUCCAACUGAUUCAGACCAUGGAUAUACUUACUGGACAAAGUAGUGGGGAACAGUAAGAUCUAUAUUGUGCAAGUUGCUUACUGCCAAAUUCAGUGUCUAUUGAGAUACAACGAUACCAUCCAAAAGAAUACAAAGACAGUUUUUGAGGACAGGAGGACAGAAACAUGAUGAAGUGUGAAGAUUUUUCCAGUAUCACACACUGGACCAACAGAUCAAAAAAUUUGCAUCCUCAUAUUCUGCAUCUUGGAAACUCCAUCCUGACCUUUCCUGUUUGUCUGGGCCAGAAGCAAUGCCGCACCCGCUGCCUGGCAGGUGUUCAAAUAUUUAUCUUCACAACCUAGAGCAUAUUAGUCCUCAAAGGUCUUUCAAAGGAUUUUUCAAGAAACAGCAAACUUCUUUCAGAACAAAUGAUCACGCUGACUGCUAUUCAAGUGUAUAAUGUUGCAUCAUCUUCAACACAGCAUUACGCCUAGAUGCCCAAAUUCUUGCCAUAACAAACUCUUGUAUGUUUGAAUGAACUUCCUGAAUGAAAUCUGAGGCAGAGAAGACGAUCAUGAGGGUGGGAUCCCUCCCUGUCCUGCUGGCAGCACUCCCAGUCUCCCCCCCCAGAGCAUCUCUGCCUUUUGGCCACAGGACACACCACCAGUGACAUUUGUAUGUUCAUGUCCCCAGGACCUCCAGACUCUUCCCUGCCAAUGGAGAUGGAUCCCACAGGAAUGCUGUGCAGAGGCCUCACUGGCAGUGGGAACUCUGCCAGCAGGGCUGAGGACCCAUGUGGGAUGUGGGAUAAGAGUUUGUGGGGCUGCCCCAGCAAAAGGGGAUUGUGUGGAGCUCGUGGAAAUGUUCAAAUAUGGUGCUGGUGUAUCUGGGAAGAGGACUGAAAGUGGGGGACUGGGAUGGGCCCAGUAAGACUCAGAGAUAGAGAGGGGUGGGAAACCCACGUUUUGGCCCCUGGCACAGAUGUGCUUUGCUUGCAUGUCAGUCUGCUUCUUGGGUGGCUCCCGAAGUUCUGGGAUGCUUGGAGUUUAGAGCUUUGCUCUGCAAA
Non-coding RNA from Zonotrichia albicollis (white-throated sparrow), 1933 nucleotides. The record is from RefSeq and is a predicted model, not a curated record. Lineage: Eukaryota; Metazoa; Chordata; Aves; Passeriformes; Passerellidae.